GAGGGUAGAGCUCAGUGGUAGAGUGCGUGCUUAGCAUGCAUGAGGCCCUGGGUUCAAUCCCCAGUACUGCCU
RNAcentral lists this transfer RNA (72 nucleotides) under Camelus bactrianus (Bactrian camel). It matches the Rfam family "tRNA". From Rfam's summary of the family: Transfer RNA (tRNA) molecules are approximately 80 nucleotides in length. Their secondary structure includes four short double-helical elements and three loops (D, anti-codon, and T loops). The record is from Rfam by way of RNAcentral. RNAcentral also lists the same sequence under 2 other names. Lineage: Eukaryota; Metazoa; Chordata; Mammalia; Artiodactyla; Camelidae.